RNAcentral lists this long non-coding RNA (381 nucleotides) under Olea europaea subsp. europaea. The record is from RNAcentral. Lineage: Eukaryota; Viridiplantae; Streptophyta; Magnoliopsida; Lamiales; Oleaceae.
GGCCUUAUCUCCUUGGUUUAAACGUCUGUUCUUAGGCAUGGGAUUUGACUUGCUAGCUUACGGCGCAUUUAUUGCUUGUGCAGGGCCUCCAUGCUAGUGACAAGACUUGACCUUUAUGCUUAUGACAAACAUUCCAUCAAUCAUUCGAAUAAGAUCCGUGCAGGUGAUCUCUUGGGAGAAGUGACCAUGGAGGAUGCUUGUGGUUGAGGCUCGCGAAUCAACUUCGGGGCUUCGUCUUCCAAGCCUCGGGCCAUGGGCCUCGGUUAGAAGCAGCUCGGAUCUAACCCCACCUCGGAAGGAAUGCCACGUGGAUCAGGAUCAGUGGGCCACCGGCCCAAGUGGGUAGGACAGGUGUGACAACACGCAACACCUUGUUUUGCA